GGCUCCUUGGUGAUUCAUAAUAACUAAACGAAUCGCAUGGCCUUGCGCCGGCGAUGGUUCAUUCAAAUUUCUGCCCUAUCAACUUUCGAUGGUAGGAUAGUGGCCUACCAUGGUAUCAACGGGUAACGGGGAAUUAGGGUUCUAUUCCGGAGAGGGAGCCUGAGAAACGGCUACCACAUCCAAGGAAGGCAGCAGGCGCGCAAAUUACCCAAUCCCGACACGGGGAGGUAGUGACAAUAAAUACUGAUACAGGGCUCUUUUGGGUCUUGUAAUUGGAAUGAGUACAAUUUAAAUCCCUUAACGAGGAACAAUUGGAGGGCAAGUCUGGUGCCAGCAGCCGCGGUAAUUCCAGCUCCAAUAGCGUAUAUUAAAGUUGUUGCAGUUAAAAAGCUCGUAGUUGAACCUUGGGCCUGGCUGGCCGGUCCGCCUCACCGCGUGUACUGGUCCGGCCGGGCCUUUCCUUCUGGGGAGCCGCAUGCCCUUCACUGGGCGUGUCGGGGAACCAGGACUUUUACUUUGAAAAAAUUAGAGUGUUCAAAGCAGGCCUUUGCUCGAAUACAUUAGCAUGGAAUAAUAGAAUAGGACGUGCGGUUCUAUUUUGUUGGUUUCUAGGACCGCCGUAAUGAUUAAUAGGGAUAGUCGGGGGCAUCAGUAUUCAAUUGUCAGAGGUGAAAUUCUUGGAUUUAUUGAAGACUAACUACUGCGAAAGCAUUUGCCAAGGAUGUUUUCAUUAAUCAGUGAACGAAAGUUAGGGGAUCGAAGACGAUCAGAUACCGUCGUAGUCUUAACCAUAAACUAUGCCGACCAGGGAUCGGGCGAUGUUAUCAUUUUGACUCGCUCGGCACCUUACCAGAAAGCAAAGUCUUUG
This 868-nucleotide ribosomal RNA is filed under the name Dothideales sp. Rco004EF4. RNAcentral describes it as "SSU rRNA". It matches the Rfam family "Eukaryotic small subunit ribosomal RNA", at positions 237 to 1109 of the family's 1831-position model. Lineage: Eukaryota; Fungi; Ascomycota; Dothideomycetes; Dothideales. The record is from RNAcentral.